GAACUUGGGUCGACAGGCGAGAAAGUAAUGAUUGGUUGACAAAGGAAUUGCCGAUGGACUAUUAUGCCGAUGAUAAAGGAGCAGGAUGCACUACACCACAACCUUUAAUCAGCGACUGAGUUGAAGUUGUUGCAAGAGGUGUACAACAAUAGACAGUCUGUUGCUAAAAGUUAUAGCAACGGACCCUAGCAGAUGCUGUUGAAGCCGUCGUUGUAGGUAUACAGCGACGGACUUCAUCUUUAGCGACUAACCAUCCAUCGCCCC
RNAcentral lists this long non-coding RNA (264 nucleotides) under Sorghum bicolor (sorghum). RNAcentral describes it as "long non-coding RNA (SBIC_LNC011957)". The record is from RNAcentral. Lineage: Eukaryota; Viridiplantae; Streptophyta; Magnoliopsida; Poales; Poaceae.